This 253-nucleotide ribosomal RNA is filed under the name uncultured bacterium. Its description in RNAcentral is "partial 16S ribosomal RNA". It matches the Rfam family "Bacterial small subunit ribosomal RNA", at positions 524 to 776 of the family's 1533-position model. The record is from RNAcentral.
UACGUAGGGUGCAGGCGUUAAUCGGAAUUACUGGGCGUAAAGCGUGCGCAGGCGGUCUUUUAAGUCAGAUGUGAAAGCCCUGGGCUCAACCUGGGAAUUGCAUUGGAUACUGGCAGGCUAGAGUGCGGUAGAGGAUGGCGGAAUUCCCGGUGUAGCAGUGAAAUGCGUAGAGAUCGGGAGGAACAUCUGUGGCGAAGGCGGCCAUCUGGACCAGCACUGACACUGAGGCACGAAAGCGUGGGGAGCAAACAGG